This 831-nucleotide ribosomal RNA is filed under the name Glutamicibacter nicotianae. RNAcentral describes it as "bacterial SSU rRNA". It matches the Rfam family "Bacterial small subunit ribosomal RNA", at positions 96 to 932 of the family's 1533-position model. Lineage: Bacteria; Bacillati; Actinomycetota; Actinomycetes; Micrococcales; Micrococcaceae. The record is from RNAcentral.
UGGCGAACGGGUGAGUAACACGUGAGUAACCUGCCCCCGACUCUGGGAUAAGCCCGGGAAACUGGGUCUAAUACCGGAUAUGACCUCGCACCGCAUGGUGCGGGGUGGAAAGAUUUAUCGGUGGGGGAUGGACUCGCGGCCUAUCAGCUUGUUGGUGAGGUAAUGGCUCACCAAGGCGACGACGGGUAGCCGGCCUGAGAGGGUGACCGGCCACACUGGGACUGAGACACGGCCCAGACUCCUACGGGAGGCAGCAGUGGGGAAUAUUGCACAAUGGGCGCAAGCCUGAUGCAGCGACGCCGCGUGAGGGAUGACGGCCUUCGGGUUGUAAACCUCUUUCAGUAGGGAAGAAGCGAAAGUGACGGUACCUGCAGAAGAAGCGCCGGCUAACUACGUGCCAGCAGCCGCGGUAAUACGUAGGGCGCAAGCGUUAUCCGGAUUUAUUGGGCGUAAAGAGCUCGUAGGCGGUUUGUCGCGUCUGCCGUGAAAGUCCGAGGCUCAACCUCGGAUCUGCGGUGGGUACGGGCAGACUAGAGUGAUGUAGGGGAGACUGGAAUUCCUGGUGUAGCGGGUGAAAUGCGCAGAUAUCAGGGAGGAACAACCGAUGGCCGAAGGCAGGGUCUCCUGGGCAUUUACUGACGGCUGAGGGAGCGAAAGCAUGGGGAGCGAACAGGAUUAGAUACCCUGGGUAGUCCAUGCCCGUAAACGUUGGGCACUAGUGUGGGGGACAUUCCCACGUUUUCCCGCGCCGUAGCUAACGCAUUAAGUGCCCCGCCUGGGGAGUACCGGCCGCAAGGCUAAACUCAAGGAAUUGACGGGCCCGCACAGCGG